AUUGAACGCUGGCGGCAGGCCUAACACAUGCAAGUCGAACGGUAACAGGAAGAAGCUUGCUUCUUUGCUGACGAGUGGCGGACGGGUGAGUAAUGUCUGGGAAACUGCCUGAUGGAGGGGGAUAACUACUGGAAACGGUAGCUAAUACCGCAUAACGUCGCAAGACCAAAGAGGGGGACCUUCGGGCCUCUUGCCAUCGGAUGUGCCCAGAUGGGAUUAGCUAGUAGGUGGGGUAACGGCUCACCUAGGCGACGAUCCCUAGCUGGUCUGAGAGGAUGACCAGCCACACUGGAACUGAGACACGGUCCAGACUCCUACGGGAGGCAGCAGUGGGGAAUAUUGCACAAUGGGCGCAAGCCUGAUGCAGCCAUGCCGCGUGUAUGAAGAAGGCCUUCGGGUUGUAAAGUACUUUCAGCGGGGAGGAAGGGAGUAAAGUUAAUACCUUUGCUCAUUGACGUUACCCUCAGAAGAAGCACCGGCUAACUCCGUG
Molecule: ribosomal RNA, 490 nt
Filed under: uncultured bacterium
Lineage: Bacteria
Description: partial 16S ribosomal RNA
Rfam family: Bacterial small subunit ribosomal RNA
Source: RNAcentral